This 122-nucleotide non-coding RNA is filed under the name bovine gut metagenome. RNAcentral's name for it is "THF riboswitch". It matches the Rfam family "THF (Tetrahydrofolate) riboswitch aptamer". From Rfam's summary of the family: THF riboswitch presents a pseudoknot that joins P1-P2 and the loop of P3 and two THF binding. The record is from RNAcentral.
GCAGAGUAGGUUUCGGAGCGUUUGAGCGCGCGGUUUUCCGCCGCUUGCCAGUGCCCGCCGGACAGGGAGUUGUCGGCGGGACGAAAAGACUAUCUUGCGGUUCCGGAAUCGCAUCCCGCUGC